RNAcentral lists this ribosomal RNA (374 nucleotides) under uncultured Bacteroidota bacterium. RNAcentral describes it as "bacterial SSU rRNA". It matches the Rfam family "Bacterial small subunit ribosomal RNA", at positions 22 to 394 of the family's 1533-position model. Lineage: Bacteria; Pseudomonadati; Bacteroidota. The record is from RNAcentral.
GCUCAGGAUGAACGCUAGCUACAGGCUUAACACAUGCAAGUCGAGGGGUAGCAGGGUAGCAAUACCGCUGACGACCGGCGCACGGGUGAGUAACACGUAUCCAACCUUCCCAUUACUCGGGGAUAGCCUUUCGAAAGAAAGAUUAAUACCCGAUAGUACUUUUUCGAGGCAUCUCGUAAAAAGUUAAAGAUUUAUUGGUAAUGGAUGGGGAUGCGUUCCAUUAGAUUGUUGGUGAGGUAACGGCUCACCAAGUCUUCGAUGGAUAGGGGUUCUGAGAGGAAGGUCCCCCACAUUGGUACUGAGACACGGACCAAACUCCUACGGGAGGCAGCAGUGAGGAAUAUUGGUCAAUGGGCGAGAGCCUGAACCAGCCA